AGAAUCAACGCUGGCGGCGUGCCUAACACAUGCAAGUCGAUCGAGAAAGUGGAGCAAUCCAUGAGUAAAGAGGCGCACGGGUGAGUAACACGUGACUAACCUACCCUCGAGUGGGGAAUAAACCUGGGGAAACCCGGGCUAAUACCGCAUAAUACCCACGGGUCAAAGGAGCAAUUCGCUUGAGGAGGGGGUCGCGGCAGAUUAGUUAGUUGGCGGGGUAAUGGCCCACCAAGACGAUGAUCUGUAUCCGGCCUGAGAGGGCGCACGGACACACUGGAACUGAAACACGGUCCAGACUCCUACGGGAGGCAGCAGUGGGAAUUUUGCGCAAUGGGGGAAACCCUGACGCAGCAACGCCGCGUGGAGGAUGAAGUCCCUUGGGACGUAAACUCCUUUCGACCGGGACGAUAAUGACGGUACCGGAUGAAGAAGCCCCGGCUAACUUCGCGCCAGCAGCCGC
RNAcentral lists this ribosomal RNA (460 nucleotides) under uncultured bacterium. RNAcentral's name for it is "SSU rRNA". It matches the Rfam family "Bacterial small subunit ribosomal RNA", at positions 26 to 518 of the family's 1533-position model. The record is from RNAcentral.